ACGCUCGACACCUACGGGAGGAAGCAGUGGGGAAUAUUGCACAAUGGGGGAAACCCUGAUGCAGCGACGCCGCGUGGAGGAAGAAGGUCUUCGGAUUGUAAACUCCUGUUGUUGGGGAAAAAGAGGAUGGUACCCAACAAGGAAGUGACGGCUAACUACGUGCAGCAGCCGCGGUAAUCUGAGCGGGCUGGCAAGGC
Molecule: ribosomal RNA, 197 nt
Filed under: uncultured bacterium
Lineage: Bacteria
Description: partial 16S ribosomal RNA
Rfam family: Bacterial small subunit ribosomal RNA
Source: RNAcentral